GUGAUGGGUCGCCCCACCGCGGCGCUUUCGGGCGACGAGGAAAGUCCGGGCAACACAGAGCACCCUGCUUCCUAACGGGAAGGAUUUGGAAGCGUAAAGCAACCCAAGACAGCCAGUGCCACAGAAAACUACCGCCUACGUCGCCUCCGGGUGGCCGGUAAGGGUGAAAAGGUGCGGUAAGAGCGCACCAGCGGCUGGGCAACCAUGUCGGCUGGGUAAACCUCAGGGGUUGAAAGACCAAAUAAGCUGGCACGUCGGCCUUUCGGGGCCGGCACCGGGUGGCUCGUCCGGCGCCAGCGGGUAGGUUGAUGGAGCCUUUCCGCGAGGACUGGCCUAGAUAAAUGGUGGGGCCGCUUUUGCUUGCAGAGGCGGACAAAACCCGGCUUACAGACUCAUCACCGCC
Molecule: non-coding RNA, 403 nt
Organism: Hymenobacter gelipurpurascens
Lineage: Bacteria; Pseudomonadati; Bacteroidota; Cytophagia; Cytophagales; Hymenobacteraceae
Source: Rfam